Molecule: transfer RNA, 57 nt
Filed under: Neoscona scylla
Lineage: Eukaryota; Metazoa; Arthropoda; Arachnida; Araneae; Araneidae
Description: tRNA-His
Source: RNAcentral
AAUAUUUUAGUUUAUAUAAAACAUUGGUUUGUGGUACCAUUAAAACUUUCAUUAUUU